UGGGGGGACCAUCCUCCAAGGCUAAAUACUCCUGACUGACCGAUAGUGAACCAGUACCGUGAGGGAAAGGCGAAAAGAACCCCGGCGAGGGGAGUGAAAAAGAACCUGAAACCGUGUACGUACAAGCAGUGGGAGCACCCUUUGGGUGUGACUGCGUACCUUUUGUAUAAUGGGUCAGCGACUUAUAUUCUGUAGCAAGGUUAACCGAAUAGGGGAGCCGGAGGGAAACCGAGUCUUAACCGGGCGUUAAGUUGCAGGGUAUAGACCCGAAACCCGGUGAUCUAGCCAUGGGCAGGUUGAAGGUUGGGUAACACUAACUGGAGGACCGAACCGACUAAUGUUGAAAAAUUAGCGGAUGACCUGUGGCUGGGGGU
RNAcentral lists this ribosomal RNA (374 nucleotides) under Salmonella enterica subsp. enterica serovar Enteritidis. RNAcentral's name for it is "partial 23S ribosomal RNA". It matches the Rfam family "Bacterial large subunit ribosomal RNA", at positions 445 to 822 of the family's 2925-position model. Lineage: Bacteria; Pseudomonadati; Pseudomonadota; Gammaproteobacteria; Enterobacterales; Enterobacteriaceae. The record is from RNAcentral.